CUCUUCCCGAUCUGGCGGUUCCCAGCAGUGCUGUUUUCUGUAAGUGCUCCACCAUUAUUGCAGCCCCUAUUUGUUCCACGUACUUCUCGAGAUUUUUGCUCACUGUUCCCAGGCUCCGAUAAUUAUUGGUAGUACUGCUACCUUUCUCCUCCACCACAACUGCUUAACUUCCCAAGCUAACCUGUCAUAUC
Molecule: long non-coding RNA, 191 nt
Organism: Octopus sinensis (East Asian common octopus)
Lineage: Eukaryota; Metazoa; Mollusca; Cephalopoda; Octopoda; Octopodidae
Exons: 3
Source: RefSeq, a predicted model, not a curated record